Homo sapiens (human) is the source of this 408-nucleotide long non-coding RNA. NCBI's taxonomy places the organism in Eukaryota, Metazoa, Chordata, Mammalia, Primates, Hominidae. The record is from Ensembl.
CAGCACAGGAGUCAGCCUGCUCUGAUUUGCUAGUGCGUCUAGAGUGUUGACAGUUGUUUCCAUGGACUUCAAAUCAACCCAACCCUGUGAGCACAGACUUUCAGCACCAGAGUCAGAUUUCCCAAAAAUGCUAUUCUUGAAGCGUAGAGCCAGACUCACAGAUCCUGUAAAGAAAACAGAUCUUUCAGCAAGUGAAACACCCAAUCUUCCAUUGCAUGGGACUCACAGAGGUUCUGAGGGAGAGAUGUGAAUAGAAGGAGUGAUCAUCACUGUGGACUCUAUUUCUUCCAUCUGUGCGUGCAAGAUUUAUAUCUGUAUGUGUUUGUUUUAAAGUUUUAUUGAGGUAUAAUUGAUACACAAUAAUCUGUACCUAUUUAAUGUAUACAAUUUGAUGAGUUUGGACAUACU